This 1175-nucleotide small RNA is filed under the name Arabidopsis thaliana (thale cress). RNAcentral describes it as "ATSL212790". The record is from RNAcentral. Lineage: Eukaryota; Viridiplantae; Streptophyta; Magnoliopsida; Brassicales; Brassicaceae.
GAUUAUGUAUAUAUAAUAUUUCAACGAAUCGUGCUCUCAUUCAUGUAAAACCGAUCUUCCAAUACUAAAUUGCACACCAUUACAAUUUCACAUCUACCAUGCCUAUAUGUAUUCGUGUACGUAAAACAUUUAUCUUUACAUAAUUCACCAGAUACAUAAUUAGUAGUGUACGUACAUAUUCUUUCAUAAAUGUACGAGUGUACGUUAACUUCGAUUUUAUAAUUGUAAUUUGGGUAAUUGGAAUAUAAAAGUCUAAAUAUAAUUUAUGUUAAGUAUAUAACUAUAUUUUGAAUACCCAUUCGGUUCUCAAUUUGCUUUGGAUAAUUUUGGGUUUACAAAUACAAAAAGAAUCUCCAACAAAACAAUUUAUGAAUCCAGAAAUUUUUAAAAACGUAUAAUUAUUUUCAUAUCACGUUCUCAAGUGUAAUUAAUAGGAUUAACACGAAUUUCUUACCCAGAACACAGAUUAUUUCCCCUUGAAUCCUUCAAACUUUGUAAAACAGCAACUGAAAACUUCAGAUACUUCACCGUAACACAAUUUCGAUUUUCGUUUUUUUCCCAGAAUUCUAAUCUCAAUUAUGUAAAUAUCUUACAAUAUAAUCUCUAUUAUAAUAGGUAAUCAUGAGUUUUAGUUUUGUCGAAACUUUUUAGCAUUAAAAACUUCUGAACCCAACCAAUUUUAAAUUUUUUUAAUUCCAAUCUCAAGUGUCAAAUUCGCCGAAACCCAGAAAACAUUUAAUGCAUUUCUCGUCGAUGAACAGUGUACGUACAAACCCGGUUCUCUUGGAUUCCAACGACGCGGUCCGUACGUACAAACCGGAUUCAGUUUCGUCAAGGGCAUUUUGGUCAGUUUUUGGCUGAAUGGCUAAGAAAUGAAAGGCUCAGCCCACAGUGUCAAAAUCUGAAAUUAAAAGUAUGUUAUUCCUAGAUUAGAGUCGUCGCUGCCAUAUUUUGUUGGGCCAAAGACACAAGAAAGCCCAUAAUAAGAUGGGCUUAUAGUUUAUUAUAUAUACGACUGAAAACCCUAAAAAUCAAAAAGCCACCGGCACUGCACGUUCGCCACAAUGUCGAUAUCGGAGCUUUCACAAGACUUGUUAGAGGAGAUACUCUGUCGCGUUCCUGCCAUAUCCCUAAAAAAGUUACGAUCUACUUGCAAGCUAUGGAACAGUUUAUUC